This 1037-nucleotide ribosomal RNA is filed under the name Semilabeo obscurus. RNAcentral's name for it is "partial large subunit ribosomal RNA". The stretch from base 185 to 1037 matches the Rfam family "Bacterial large subunit ribosomal RNA", at positions 568 to 1984 of the family's 2925-position model. The record is from RNAcentral. Lineage: Eukaryota; Metazoa; Chordata; Actinopteri; Cypriniformes; Cyprinidae.
AAACAGCUAGCUUAUCCACCAAUAUAACCAAAUAAUAUAAAUAAAAUAGAAUAGGCCGAACACCAAAAACUAAACCAUUCUUUUACCUGAGUAUGGGAGACAGAAAAGGUUCAACCAAAGCAAUAGAAAUAGUACCGCAAGGGAAAGCUGAAAGAGAAAUGAAAUAACCCAUAUAAGUAACAAAAAGCAAAGACUAAACCUUGUACCUUUUGCAUCAUGAUUUAGCCAGUAAACACAAGCAAAGAGACCUUUAGUUUGAAACCCCGAAACCAGGUGAGCUACCCCGAGACAGCCUAUUAAGGGCCAACCCGUCUCUGUGGCAAAAGAGUGGGAAGAGCUCCGGGUAGAAGUGACAGACCUACCGAACCUGGUGAUAGCUGGUUGCCUAAGAAAUGAAUAGAAGUUCAGCCUCGUACACCUCAAAUCAAAUAAACACCAAUCAAGACACCAAGAGAAAGACACGAGAGUUAGUUAAAGGGGGUACAGCCCCUUCAACAAAGGACACAACCUUAUUCAGGAGGAUAAAGAUCAUAAUAUAUAAAACAUACUGUUCUAGUGGGCCUAAAGGCAGCCACCUAAACAGAAAGCGUUAAAGCUCAGACAGAAAAAAGUUUAUUAUUCUGAUAAAAAAUCUUACUCCCCUAAAUACUAUUAGGCUAAUCCAUGCCCCCAUGGAAGAAAUUAUGCUAAAAUGAGUAACAAGAAGGCCCGCCCUUCUCCAAGCACAAGUGUAAGCCAAACCGGACCAACCAUUGGCAACUAACGAACUCAACCCAAGAGAGCAAUGUGAACCAUAAAAAAAACAAGAAAAACCCACAACUCAACAAUCGUUAACCCCACACUGGAUUGCUAUUAAAGGAAAGACUAAAAGAAAAGGAAGGAACUCGGCAAACACAAGCCUCGCCUGUUUACCAAAAACAUCGCCUCCUGCAACGCAGCCAUGUAUAGGAGGUCCAGCCUGCCCAGUGACUACAAGUUCAACGGCCGGGGUAUUUUGACCGUGCAAAGGUAGCGCAAUCACUUGUCUUUUAAAUAGA